GAUGAACGCUGGCGGCGUGCCUAAUACAUGCAAGUCGAGCGAACAGACGAGGAGCUUGCUCCUCUGACGUUAGCGGCGGACGGGUGAGUACACGUGGAUAACCUACCUAUAAGACUGGGAUAACUUCGGGAAACCGGAGCUAAUACCGGAUAAUAUAUUGAACCGCAUGGUUCAAUAGUGAAAGACGGUUUUGCUGUCACUUAUAGAUGGAUCCGCGCCGCAUUAGCUAGUUGGUAAGGUAACGGCUUACCAAGGCAACGAUGCGUAGCCGACCUGAGAGGGUGAUCGGCCACACUGGAACUGAGACACGGUCCAGACUCCUACGGGAGGCAGCAGUAGGGAAUCUUCCGCAAUGGGCGAAAGCCUGACGGGGCAACGCCGCGUGAGUGAUGAAGGUCUUCGGAUCGUAAAACUCUGUUAUUAGGGAAGAACAAAUGUGUAAGUAACUAUGCACGUCUUGACGGUACCUAAUCAGAAAGCCACGGCUAACUACGUG
This 496-nucleotide ribosomal RNA is filed under the name uncultured bacterium. RNAcentral describes it as "partial 16S ribosomal RNA". It matches the Rfam family "Bacterial small subunit ribosomal RNA", at positions 28 to 507 of the family's 1533-position model. The record is from RNAcentral.